This 497-nucleotide ribosomal RNA is filed under the name uncultured bacterium. RNAcentral's name for it is "partial 16S ribosomal RNA". It matches the Rfam family "Bacterial small subunit ribosomal RNA", at positions 28 to 507 of the family's 1533-position model. The record is from RNAcentral.
GAUGAACGCUGGCGGCGUGCCUAAUACAUGCAAGUCGAGCGAACAGACGAGGUGCUUGCUGCUCUGACGUUAGCGGCGGAAGGGUGAGUAACCCGUGGAUAACCUAUCUAUAAGACUGGGAUAACUUCGGGAAACCGGAGCCAAUACCGGAUCAUAUAUUGAACCCGAUGGUUCAAUAGUGAAAGACGGAUUUGCGGUCACUUAUAGAUGGGUCCACGCCGGAUGAGCUAGUUGGUAAGGUAACGGCUUACCAAGGCAACGAUGCGUAGCCGACCUGAGAGGAUGAUCAGCCACACUGGAACUGAGACACGGUCCAGACUCCUACGGGAGGCAGCAGUAGGGAAUCUUCCGCAAUGGGCGAAAGCCUGACGGAGCAACGCCGCGUGAGUGAAGAAGGUCUUCGGAUCGUAAAACUCUUUUAUUAGGGAAGAACAAAUGUGGAAGUAACUAUGCACGUCUUGACGGUACCUAAUCAGAAAGCCACGGCUAACUACGUG